GACGAACGCUGGCGGCGUGCCUAACACAUGCAAGUCGAACGAAGCUUGAUCACGGAUCUCUUCGGAGUGAAGUGUGAUAUGACUGAGUGGCGGACGGGUGAGUAACGCGUGAGUAACCUGCCUUUCAGAGGGGGAUAACAGUUGGAAACGACUGCUAAUACCGCAUAACGUAUCGGAACCGCAUGAUUCUGAUACCAAAGCUGAGGCGCUGAAAGAUGGACUCGCGUCUGAUUAGAUAGUUGGUGGGGUAACGGCCUACCAAGUCGAUGAUCAGUAGCCGGACUGAGAGGUUGAUCGGCCACAUUGGGACUGAGACACGGCCCAGACUCCUACGGGAGGCAGCAGUGGGGAAUAUUGCACAAUGGGCGAAAGCCUGAUGCAGCAACGCCGCGUGAGGGAAGACGGUUUUCGGAUUGUAAACCUCUGUCUUCGGUGACGAAAAUGACGGUAGCCGAGGAGGAAGCCACGGCUAACUACGUG
RNAcentral lists this ribosomal RNA (480 nucleotides) under uncultured bacterium. RNAcentral describes it as "bacterial SSU rRNA". It matches the Rfam family "Bacterial small subunit ribosomal RNA", at positions 28 to 507 of the family's 1533-position model. The record is from RNAcentral.